AGAGUUUGAUCAUGGCUCAGGAUGAACGCUAGCGGCAGGCUUAACACAUGCAAGUCGAACGGUAACAUUGGUGCUUGCACCAGAUGACGAGUGGCGCACGGGUGCGUAACGCGCAUGCAAUCUACCUUUUACUGAAGAAUAGCCCAGAGAAAUUUGGAAUAAUCCUUCAUAAUAUCAUUUAUCAGCAUUGAUAUUUGAUUAAAGCUCCGGCGGUAAAAGAUGAGCAUGCGUCCUAUUAGUUUGUUGGUGAGGUAACGGCUCACCAAGACUACGAUAGGUAGGGGCCCUGAGAGGGGGAUCCCCCACACUGGUACUGAGACACGGACCAGACUCCUACGGGAGGCAGCAGUGAGGAAUAUUGGACAAUGGAGGCAACUCUGAUCCAGCCAUGCCGCGUGCAGGAUGACUGCCCUAUGGGUUGUAAACUGCUUUUAUAUAAGAAGAAACACUCCCACGUGUGGGGGCUUGACGGUACUAUAUGAAUAAGGAUCGGCUAACUCCGUGCCAGCAGCCGCGGUAAUACGGAGGAUCCAAGCGUUAUCCGGAAUCAUUGGGUUUAAAGGGUCCGCAGGCGGCCUGUUAAGUCAGAGGUGAAAGCCAACAGCUCAACUGUUGAACUGCCUUUGAUACUGAUAGGCUUGAGUUAUUGUGAAGUGGUUAGAAUGUGUGGUGUAGCGGUGAAAUGCUUAGAUAUCACACAGAAUACCCAUUGCGAAGGCAGAUCACUAACAAUAUACUGACGCUCAUGGACGAAAGCGUGGGGAGCGAACGGGAUUAGAUACCCCGGUAGUCCACGCCGUAAACGAUGGAUACUAACUGUUCGUCCCGCUUGCGGGAUGAGUGGUCAAGCGAAAGUGA
This 858-nucleotide ribosomal RNA is filed under the name uncultured bacterium. RNAcentral's name for it is "bacterial SSU rRNA". It matches the Rfam family "Bacterial small subunit ribosomal RNA", at positions 8 to 860 of the family's 1533-position model. The record is from RNAcentral.